This 477-nucleotide ribosomal RNA is filed under the name Candidatus Scalindua wagneri. RNAcentral describes it as "bacterial SSU rRNA". It matches the Rfam family "Bacterial small subunit ribosomal RNA", at positions 365 to 832 of the family's 1533-position model. The record is from RNAcentral. Lineage: Bacteria; Pseudomonadati; Planctomycetota; Candidatus Brocadiia; Candidatus Brocadiales; Candidatus Scalinduaceae.
UUCGCAAUGCCCGAAAGGGUGACGAAGCGACGCCGCGUGAGCGAAGAAGGCCCUAGGGUUGUAAAGCUCUGUCGGGGGUUAUGAAAUGCAGGUUGGUUAAUACCCAACCUGUUUGACAAAGGCCCCAAAGGAAGCCACGGCUAACUCUGUGCCAGCAGCCGCGGUAAUACAGAGGUGGCAAGCGUUGUUCGGUAUUAUUGGGCGUAAAGAGCACGUAGGUGGUUUUGUAAGUCAGACGUGAAAGCCUUCUGUUCAAAGGAAGAACGGCAUCUGAAACUGCAGAUCUUGAGUGUAGGAGGGGAGAGUGGAACUUCUGGUGGAGCGGUGAAAUGCGUAGAUAUCAGAAGGAACGUCGGCGGCGAAAGCGACUCUCUGGCCUAUUACUGACACUGAGUGUGCGAAAGUUAGGGGAGCAAACGGGAUUAGAUACCCCGGUAGUCCUAACUGUAAACGAUGGGCACUAAGUAGAGGGGUUUU